This is an unclassified non-coding RNA of Papio anubis (olive baboon), 148 nucleotides long. It matches the Rfam family "Metazoan signal recognition particle RNA". From Rfam's summary of the family: The signal recognition particle (SRP) is a universally conserved ribonucleoprotein. The record is from Ensembl. Lineage: Eukaryota; Metazoa; Chordata; Mammalia; Primates; Cercopithecidae.
GCUGGACAUGGUGGCGCAUGUCUGUAAUCCCAGCUACCAGGGAGGCUGAGGCAGGAGAAUCGCUUGAACCCAGGAGGCAGAGGUUGCAGUGAGCCAAGAUUGUGUCACUGUACUCCAGUCUGGGCAACAGAGUGAGACUCUGCCUCAA